AUGAGAACAGCGGAGCUCGUGGGUGUAGAUAGAGGAUUGAGGUCGUCGUGGCCGGAGGCAGCGGGGCUACCCGUGGCCACGGCGGCGCUCCUGAUCAAUGGUGACAGGCCCGAUGUUGCGGUAGCGUUGAUCGUGGAAAGGGAUCCCAUCAGGCCGCCACCACCAGGGCGUUCCGACCCUAGGCGCGUCACCCUCGUCUCUGACACGGCCAGCGUUGUCGUCAAGACUCCUGUGGCCGGCUAG
Molecule: ribosomal RNA, 243 nt
Filed under: Triticum aestivum (bread wheat)
Lineage: Eukaryota; Viridiplantae; Streptophyta; Magnoliopsida; Poales; Poaceae
Description: partial small subunit ribosomal RNA
Source: RNAcentral